GGUAAGGUGGCUGAGUUAUAGGCGGUAGAUUGUAAAUCUAUAGAGGGGUUGUUUGACCCUCUUACCA
RNAcentral lists this transfer RNA (67 nucleotides) under Neoperla ignacsiveci. RNAcentral describes it as "tRNA-Tyr". It matches the Rfam family "tRNA". From Rfam's summary of the family: Transfer RNA (tRNA) molecules are approximately 80 nucleotides in length. Their secondary structure includes four short double-helical elements and three loops (D, anti-codon, and T loops). The record is from RNAcentral. Lineage: Eukaryota; Metazoa; Arthropoda; Insecta; Plecoptera; Perlidae.